RNAcentral lists this small nuclear RNA (112 nucleotides) under Sciurus vulgaris (Eurasian red squirrel). Lineage: Eukaryota; Metazoa; Chordata; Mammalia; Rodentia; Sciuridae. The record is from RNAcentral.
GUGCUCGCUUUGGCAGCACAUAUACUGAAAUUGGAACGAUACAGAGAAGAGAAGAUUAGCAUGGCCCCUGCGCAAGGAUGACACACAAAUUCGUGAAGUGUUCCAUAUUUUU